This is a non-coding RNA of Exiguobacterium sp. AT1b, 209 nucleotides long. The record is from Rfam. NCBI's taxonomy places the organism in Bacteria, Bacillati, Bacillota, Bacilli, Caryophanales.
ACAGAUGCGAUGAUGAGAAUAAGUACGUUACGUACGUCUACUGACAGAGAGCUAGUGGUUGGUGCAAACUAGUGAGAUGACGUGACCGAAUCGGCCUCGGAGCAUUGACUUGGAAACAGGUCACGUUCGCACACGUUACGUGCAUCGAGUGGCUCAAACUUUUGAGCAACGAGGGUGGCAACGCGGAUCCAAGGUGGUUCGUCCCUUUC